Molecule: long non-coding RNA, 1736 nt
Organism: Oncorhynchus masou masou (cherry salmon)
Lineage: Eukaryota; Metazoa; Chordata; Actinopteri; Salmoniformes; Salmonidae
Exons: 5
Source: RefSeq, a predicted model, not a curated record
GCUUCUGGUAGGGGUAAGUACGUCUAUUGGAGAAGCAGAUUUAGCCCAUCUUUAUGCUGUAUUGUUUUUAUUUCUGUUCUGGACCUGGUUUCCCAAAAACAUCUUAAGGCUAAGUUAAUCGUUAGAACAUCCUAUGGUUCUAACAAUGAAUUUAGCCUAAUUAAGAUGCGUAAUCUUAGACCAAUAGGGAAAUUAUAUCCUUGCUUUCAGGGACAAAGGAAAAACACAACUAUAUGUCAUCUUAAAUCAUUUAUGAAAAUUUGAUUUCUUGAAGAGAUGGAACAGUCUACUCUAUCUUCUAGCUGUCACGUUCUGACCUUUAUUUCCUUUGUUUUGUCUUUAUUUAGUUUAGUAUGGUCAGGGCGUGAGUUGGGGUGGGCAGUCUAUGUAUGUUUUUCUAUGUUGGGGUUUUGAGGUCAGCCUCGUAUGGUUCUCAAUCAGAGGCAGGUGUCGUUAGUUGUCUCUGAUUGAGAAUCAUACUUAGGUAGCCUGGGUUUCACUUUUGAGUUGUGGGUGUUUGUUUCCGUGUGAGUAUUUGUUGCCACACAGUACGGGGGCCUGUUGCACAAAAGUAGAAUUAAGACAUCCGGGAUAAAUGACUCAGCUGAGCUCAAUGAAGCCAAAACAUGUGCGUCCAGGCUUAAUUGGUUGCACAAAGACCAAGCCAGGAUGAGCAGACACGGAUUCAUUAAGCCAGGUGAAACCAAUCCUGGAUAGGUGCGCGCUCACGGCUCACUCAAAUGGACCCCGCCACAGAUCACAGAUUAACUGAUUUACCAUGGCAACUAGAGCCGCGUACUUUUCCCCGUCGGAAGCACAAAUCCUCAUGGAGGCAUACGAGGAGGUAAAAGAUAUAAUUAAGAAGAAAGGCAACACCGCCACAGUGAUAAAGCAAAGAGAAAAAGCGUGGCAAAGUAUUGCAGACCGCCUGAAUGCGUAAGUAGUGCACAAUUACACACUCACCGCUCCGCUGAAACAUCACAAUUACAAUUCAAAUAUUUAAUUCACAUCUCCAAAAAUGCAGUUGUACUGUAAUUAUGAAACGGUUAAAUUUUUAAUUGAAAUGCACUGCAGAUAUGAGUGAAAUUGUGUAAAGUAACUCCAUCACACUGUAUAAAGCUAUGCUAAAUUUUUUGAUAUUUUCACUGAAAACAAGACAAAAAUACCAAGUAAUUUUUUGCAGUGUGACUCCAUUAAAUGUGUGUGUGUGUGUGUGUGUGUGUGUGUGUGUGUGUGUGUGUGUGUGUGUGUGUGUGUGUGUGUAGAUUAAACAUGAACGGGCCAAAACGGACAUGGCAGCAGGUCAAAAUCAAAUACAAGAACAUUCUGCAGAAUGCAGUGAAAAAGAAUACCCACAGACAAGGCACGGGUGGUGGGUCACCAAAGGCUGACCUUACCCCAGCAGAGGACAUGGCCUUGGAGCUAAAUAAAGGCAGGCCCGUCUUAGAGGGGAUCCCUGGGGGAAAGAGACGAGCAUAGGUUCCUCCCAAGAUGCCACCCGCUUCAUUCAAGUGUCUGGCAGCACUGUGUUCCUGUUAGAGCCACCAGCACAAGCACCAGACGAUGCUGAUCCAGGUGAAGGCCCCAGUGCAGCAGCAACAGCACAUGAUGGAGACGAUGAUGAGGAGGAGACCAUCUCUCUGGAUUCCAGAAGGCAUGAGGACCCAGAUGCUAUACAGUGGGAAAACCAGCCUGGCAACAUAGUGCGUAUUAAUAAAAGGACACCACAUCCUGCC